This 281-nucleotide long non-coding RNA is filed under the name Mytilus galloprovincialis (Mediterranean mussel). Lineage: Eukaryota; Metazoa; Mollusca; Bivalvia; Mytilida; Mytilidae. The record is from RNAcentral.
CAAAUAUUAUGUACUAGUAACUACAUAUAUGUACUCAAUGACUUGCAUUCAUUUAACUUGUAAUAAUUAUGAUGCAGCAUCCAACAAAAAGUAUGUAUUUUUUAGCUCACCUGGCCCAAAGAGCCAAAUGAGCUUUUCUCAUCACUUGGCGUCCGUCGUCUGUAAACUUUUACAGAAAUCUUCUCCUCUGAAACUACUGGGCCAAAUUUCACCAAACUUGGCCACAAUUAUCAUUCGGGUAUCUAGUUUAAAAAAUGUGUCCAAUGACCCAGCCAACCAAC